This 497-nucleotide ribosomal RNA is filed under the name uncultured bacterium. RNAcentral describes it as "partial 16S ribosomal RNA". It matches the Rfam family "Bacterial small subunit ribosomal RNA", at positions 28 to 507 of the family's 1533-position model. The record is from RNAcentral.
GAUGAACGCUGGCGGCGUGCCUAAUACAUGCAAGUCGAGCGAACAGAUGAGGAGCUUGCUCCUCUGACGUUAGCGGCGGACGGGUGAGUAACCCGUGGAUAACCUACCUAUAAGACUGGGAUAACUUCGGGAAACCGGAGCUAAUACCGGAUAAUAUAUUGAACCGCAUGGUUCAAUAGUGAAAGACGGUUUUGCUGUCACUUAUAGAUGGAUCCGCGCCGCAUUAGCUAGUUGGUAAGGUAACGGCUUACCAAGGCAACGAUGCGUAGCCGACCUGAGAGGGUGAUCGGCCACACUGGAACUGAGACACGGUCCAGACUCCUACGGGAGGCAGCAGUAGGGAAUCUUCCGCAAUGGGCGAAAGCCUGACGGAGCAACGCCGCGUGAGUGAUGAAGGUCUUCGGAUCGUAAAACUCUGUUAUUAGGGAAGAACAAAUGUGUAAGUAACUAUGCACGUCUUGACGGUACCUAAUCAGAAAGCCACGGCUAACUACGUG